RNAcentral lists this ribosomal RNA (465 nucleotides) under uncultured Klebsiella sp. RNAcentral's name for it is "bacterial SSU rRNA". It matches the Rfam family "Bacterial small subunit ribosomal RNA", at positions 338 to 795 of the family's 1533-position model. Lineage: Bacteria; Pseudomonadati; Pseudomonadota; Gammaproteobacteria; Enterobacterales; Enterobacteriaceae. The record is from RNAcentral.
CCUACGGGGGGCAGCAGUGGGGAAUAUUGCACAAUGGGCGCAAGCCUGAUGCAGCCAUGCCGCGUGUGUGAAGAAGGCCUUCGGGUUGUAAAGCACUUUCAGCGGGGAGGAAGGCGGUGAGGUUAAUAACCUCAUCGAUUGACGUUACCCGCAGAAGAAGCACCGGCUAACUCCGUGCCAGCAGCCGCGGUAAUACGGAGGGUGCAAGCGUUAAUCGGAAUUACUGGGCGUAAAGCGCACGCAGGCGGUCUGUCAAGUCGGAUGUGAAAUCCCCGGGCUCAACCUGGGAACUGCAUUCGAAACUGGCAGGCUAGUGUCUUGUAGAGGGGGGUAGAAUUCCAGGUGUAGCGGUGAAAUGCGUAGAGAUCUGGAGGAAUACCGGUGGCGAAGGCGGCCCCCUGGACAAAGACUGACGCUCAGGUGCGAAAGCGUGGGGAGCAAACAGGAUUAGAUACCCUAGUAGUC